Molecule: ribosomal RNA, 227 nt
Filed under: uncultured bacterium
Lineage: Bacteria
Description: partial 16S ribosomal RNA
Rfam family: Bacterial small subunit ribosomal RNA
Source: RNAcentral
ACGCUCGACACCUACGGUAGGCAGCAGUAGGGAAUCUUCCACAAUGGGCGCAAGCCUGAUGGAGCAACACCGCGUGAGUGAAGAAGGGUUUCGGCUCGUAAAGCUCUGUUGUUGGAGAAGAACGUGCGUGAGAGUAACUGUUCACGCAGUGACGGUAUCCAACCAGAAAGUCACGGCUAACUACGUGCCAGCACGCCGCGGUAAUCUGAGGCGGGCGUGGCGAAGGC